GAUUGAACGCUGGCGGCAGGCCUAACACAUGCACGUCGAACGGUAACAGGAAGCAGCUUGCUGCUUCGCUGACGAGUGGCGGACGGGUGAGUAAUGUCUGGGAAGCUGCCUGAUGGAGGGGGAUAACUACUGGAAACGGUAGCUAAUACCGCAUAAUGUCGCAAGACCAAAGAGGGGGACCUUCGGGCCUCUUGCCAUCGGAUGUGCCCAGAUGGGAUUAGCUUGUUGGUGGGGUAACGGCUCACCAAGGCGACGAUCCCUAGCUGGUCUGAGAGGAUGACCAGCCACACUGGGACUGAGACACGGUCCAGACUCCUACGGGAGGCAGCAGUGGGGAAUAUUGCACAAUGGGCGCAAGCCUGAUGCAGCCAUGCCGCGUGUAUGAAGAAGGCCUUCGGGUUGUAAAGUACUUUCAGCGGGGAGGAAGGGAGUAAAGUUAAUACCUUUGCUCAUUGACGUUACCCGCAGAAGAAGCACCGGCUAACUCCGUG
This 491-nucleotide ribosomal RNA is filed under the name uncultured bacterium. RNAcentral describes it as "partial 16S ribosomal RNA". It matches the Rfam family "Bacterial small subunit ribosomal RNA", at positions 27 to 507 of the family's 1533-position model. The record is from RNAcentral.